This is a long non-coding RNA of Bacillus rossius redtenbacheri, 2809 nucleotides long. RefSeq lists it as uncharacterized. Lineage: Eukaryota; Metazoa; Arthropoda; Insecta; Phasmatodea; Bacillidae. The transcript is spliced from 2 exons. The record is from RefSeq and is a predicted model, not a curated record.
CAAGAUUUUCAACUUCUUACAUUUCUUUGACUCGUCACCAUCUACAACUAUGUACUAUGUUGAUAAUAUUAAGUGCUCACUAAUCUCUGCUGUUUAUGUGUUUGUUUUUAACAUGUCAGCCGUUUUGGACGGUUAGUUUUUGAAGGCCUACGAAAUUGCGAAGUGUUGGGAUUUGCAUCUGCCUAGAAGUUAAUAUUUUCAGAAUAAGUUAGUGACUACAAACGUUUACUUGGUUAAUAUAUAUUUGGAAGACUGUCAUUGGCAUAUGUGUAAUGAAGCAAAAUAUGAAGUUCCUGCUGUGUAAUCCAGUUUGAUAGACCUCACUUAGUGCUUCAUCUAAUGAUGUAACACAACUGUUUCUUGUUGCUGUGAAACUACUACACCUUCAAGUUCUAUAAGGUAAGCAGUAAUUUUUCUUUAUUUUUUUUUUUAAUAAAACUACUAUUUUAAAAUGAUCACUAUAGUGGUAGGCUGUUUCAGAAUAGUAAGGAUAUAUGUCCUCUACCGACGCAGCGUUAACCAAAGGUUCCUUAAGUUUCAAGGCUGCAUUCAAUGAGGAACUUGCAGUGAAAGAAUAUUCAGUCUUUAUGAUAAUAACAGCGUAUCAACAAAGUAAUAUAUUUGUGGCAGUAAUUUAUUUGUGUUUAGAAUCUUUAAUUUUUCAUGAAAUUUUCCAUUUGUGAAGUUUAAGUUGAUCGGUUAACAGUAAUAGAUAGACAGAUCUGUGGACAACAGUCUGCCGGCUAAACAAACAACUGUCAUCACAUUUAUACUAAACCAGUGCUGCAAGCUGCUGAAGAGCUACAAGGAUGCAUGAAAGGCUGCAUUAUGGAUACUUUAAGAAUCCUUGAAACUGUUUGCAAGGUCAACAAAAAUGGGUGAUGCUCUUUAAGUCUUCUCGGUAAGGUAGAGUAAACUAUAUAACUAUCUCUCUUCUACCUAUUUUCAUUUUAAUUGCUUUUAAGCACAUGUUCCACGUAGAGUUUAAGGGAGCCAAUUCUUUGCCACACUAGGUGAAAUAGUGCCUCUGAGAGGGAUUUUGUUUAGCAAGUCUCUGUCGCUACAUCGAGAGUGCAAACAUUUUGCAAGCUAGCACAGAACAAUCUAAAGUGCUAGGCAUGCACAUAAAAUAUUGCAAAAGAAAACACUGUUGAUAUUCAAAACACAGUACACACCAUUUAAAAAAAUCCUUAAAAAAUUAUUCAGAUCACUUAAUAAAAUAACAUAUGCUUCUAUAUUCUUAGUUUACUGUAAGUUAUGUAAAAUCCCAAAAAUAACAGAUACAUUUUUAUUCCAUUUUUGGUCCUUUAUUAAUAAGUGCUAUUACAAAAAAAAAAUAUAUUUGUAGUUAAAGUUUGAAUGCAAAUAAUAUGUCACUUUUUUACUAUUCAGUAUUUUCUUGUAAUUAUAUGCUAAUCUGGAAUCACAGUUCCACGAUGGGCCCGACAUGCUCAGUAGCCAUUGAAAUACGAGUUCGCAGUGACAUUACCCCUGCAAAUUACGCGUCCUGAGUGCCCACAAGGAAUAGAUUCUAUGUCUAAUUUUGUCGUGUCGCCUGACAGAAAGCAAAAUAGAAAUGGAUAGGAACCUUACAGAAUUUAACUUCAAAAAUAUUUACCAACUUGGUAAAUUUUUAUGCUGAAAAAUGAAAUUUCAUUUUACAUGUGAGUAUACUUUAAUAUUUGUAACUUGCCUUCAUCUGUUUAUAUAAACAGAUACCAUUGUGUUUGUGGUCAAUGUUGUAGAUUGGUGAAGAUUUAAUUUAGGAAUGGACGAGUUUGUGAAUAACUUGUAAUUAAUAAAGUUCAGACUCAUGGUAUUUUGUAUGAAAUUGGGUUGAAGGACUACAAAAAUUAGCCAUAAAAGAUAAAGCGGGCUGAGAUUUCAUGUUCAUUUUCUCUUCUACACUGUUUUUAGUGCAUUCUAUACUGCAUAUUAUGCAAGUACUUGGCUUGGAACAAUUUGCCAACAGCCAAAUCAGAAAUCGUCAGGUUAAUCUUUUGGUAUUGUGACCCUACGCUAUUAAAUCUGUCGUGCUGGAAUGCUGUGUGACAGUUUGUUGGAUUUGUUGUGAUGUGUUCGUCGUUGCAUUGUUUAUGACUCUAGCUUUAGGCUAAUGAAGGUAAAUGGUAAAUAACAGCAGUUUUUUUAUGAUCCAGCUACCGUCUACAAGUGGUUACUUAGCUGUAUGUAUUUUUGUUUGAAACCAUAGGUGUAAUUGGCAUGAAUAUCUUAGCUGCCAUUUGACUAUGACUAAGAAGAAUGAUUAAUGUAUCUUUUAUCCAUUCUUCUGAAGCUACAAAAAAUUUAUUGACAUGAUUAAUUUUUAAAUAAAUGAAGCACUUACAGAUCUGUUUUUUCCUUACUUAUUGACAACUUUUCGUAAGGUUUCUGUAAUUUUAGUAAAAAUUAUAUUGGUUUCACAUAUAUUUUCACUAGUGCAGGUUUACAUCUAAAACCUUUUGUCAGACAUUUAUAAAUAAAUUGAAAAAGUUACCAUUUUAAUUGUCCACCAGUGGGCUCGAAAGCUAGGGUCCUAAAGUGUGUAGUCAAAGUUUGUCAGGAUUGAUUCUCGGCUGGUUCAGAAAUUGUUCUAAUUUAUUUUUCCCUGGAUCAUAAUUAGUUACUCGAGUUCCUUUGCUCUCACGCUAUGAAAGGCAACUGAAAACAUCCACAAAAAUCUCUCUUUUAGCAUCUCGAGUGCACCUAGGUUACAAUAACCACAUAACCACAAUGUUCGCUGCCACCUUGUGAGUCUGAGACCGUUUCUAGCUGCCCCGUUCUCAUCACAAGACCUAAAAAAAACAAA